UUCACUCCACAUACUCAAUCCUAUAGACACCUUUUUAAUCCUUCAAUCACAGACGUAACUCGAUUUCACAAAACAGUCAAGAGUAAUCAAACCCACUUCAUUAAAAAAAAUCCCGAUUCACCAUUACAACACUGACUUCAGCAACGAUUGCCUCAGUCUUUCCAAAACUCUAUGAAGAAGAAAAAUCCAAUUCUCCGUCUUUUCUUCCCCGACCCGAAGCAUGAAGCUCCUCUCCAAU
This 238-nucleotide long non-coding RNA is filed under the name Physcomitrium patens. RNAcentral describes it as "long non-coding RNA (PPAT_LNC000754)". The record is from RNAcentral. Lineage: Eukaryota; Viridiplantae; Streptophyta; Bryopsida; Funariales; Funariaceae.